This 423-nucleotide ribosomal RNA is filed under the name uncultured bacterium. RNAcentral describes it as "bacterial SSU rRNA". It matches the Rfam family "Bacterial small subunit ribosomal RNA", at positions 357 to 772 of the family's 1533-position model. The record is from RNAcentral.
GGGAAUUUUGGACAAUGGGGGAAACCCUGAUCCAGCAAUGCCGCGUGUGUGAAGAAGGCCUUCGGGUUGUAAAGCACUUUUGUCCGGAAAGAAAACCUUUGCACUAAUACUGUGAGGGGAUGACGGUACCGGAAGAAUAAGCACCGGCUAACUACGUGCCAGCAGCCGCGGUAAUACGUAGGGUGCGAGCGUUAAUCGGAAUUACUGGGCGUAAAGCGUGCGCAGGCGGUUCGUUAAGACAGAUGUGAAAUCCCCGGGCUUAACCUGGGAACUGCAUUUGUGACUGGCGAGCUAGAGUAUGGCAGAGGGGGGUAGAAUUCCACGUGUAGCAGUGAAAUGCGUAGAGAUGUGGAGGAAUACCGAUGGCGAAGGCAGCCCCCUGGGCCAAUACUGACGCUCAUGCACGAAAGCGUGGGGAGCAAA